This is a non-coding RNA of Peromyscus maniculatus bairdii (prairie deer mouse), 3314 nucleotides long. The record is from RefSeq and is a predicted model, not a curated record. Lineage: Eukaryota; Metazoa; Chordata; Mammalia; Rodentia; Cricetidae.
UCAGGCACCCUCUCCACUACUGUUAAGAGUCUUAGCUGGGGUCAUCCUUGUGGGUUCCUGGGAAUUUCCCUAGCGCCAGGUUUCUCCCUAACCCCAUAAUGUAUCCCUCUAUCAAGAAUAUCUCUUUCAUUGGUGAGUCUGGGUUUUAUUUAGAUCCUCUGCUUUUCAUCAUACUCGUCUGUAGCAGCCAUCUGCUUGUAUUAUCCAGGUUAGUGUGGGACCCUCUGAUCUGCUGGAGACUGGUUACCUCAUAACACACCACCUAAUUUGUCAGUGUGGGCAGUUGUUCACAGUUCUGUCUUCAAAAUACAAAAGGGUUAGUACCACUUUUUUUUUUCUAUAGCCAUUUCCUUAUUGGUUUUCUUCCUAGAUAAUCCUUAUAUUUACCCAUGUUCUCUGAAUCUGCAAAUAGGCCUCUGGGUUAUGCCAGGAAAUACUUUGUUUACAUCGCUGCAGUAUAAAGAGUAGUUUGAAGAAAUUUCCAUGUGGUUUUGAUGGAAGCCAACCUGUGAUGUCAGCUGUACACUCAGGAAGCUAACUAAAGUCUGGGGCAUCUCUUUGAACAUCAUGGUAACCUUGGUGCUGACCACAGAACUGGCACUCGGUACGGAGUUUAGUGCUGAAUGAAUUGCUUUAAAGCAAAUAUAAAGGGUGGAUAAAUUGUCGCUGCCAGAGCAUUAUUUGAUGAGAACAUGCCUAACCCAGCCUAUAAAGACUAUAAAUUGUAAAGCAGCAUCUUCCACUAGUAAAAUAUUUUCAUAUCCUUUUUAAAUCCAGACAACCUCCUUAACUGUAGAUAUUUUAAGCACUUACCAGAAUUAUAUCAUUUCAGAAUGGCCUCUGUCAGCCCAAGUCUAGUAGAACGCAAGGAUGUUGCCAAGGCGAAUUCCUAAGAAGAACACAGUGCUACAAACGUGGUUCAUGGAGUCCUGAGCGUCUUGGUUCCCUAAUGUCUUAAGUCCCUUUCUUCACUUGACAUCUUUCCUGUACAUCCCGCCAUGGCUCUGUGACCUGUCAGAUCUGUGCAUUGUGAAAUGACAUGCUCUAGGUCACACGAUGACCAAGGGCUUCAGGUAUCAAACUGAGGUGGAAAGAAGGCAGACACUAAGGUCUGAAAGCCAGGUUUUAUGUCAUUUACUACACUCUGAAAUACAUAUACGCGCAGCUUGGAAGUUACAUGUUUUCCAGUUUGAAACGGUCUGUAAAGCCACCUGUAUCAGUGCCCAACAAAGAAAACAGAAAGUUUUGAGUGUUUUACAAGAGAAAUUGGAGCAGGAAAUGGAAGGAGCAGAAAACCAAACCAAACCAAACCAAAUAGCUCCAUACAGACGCCACACCCCUAAUCUGGAGAGGAGGAAGGGAGGAAGUGGUGCUGUUGGAGAUCCAAGGUUGAAGCUGUGGGUGGGAGGCUGGAGAGAAGACUCAGUGGGUUAAGUACUGACUGUACAAGCUUGAGGACCUGAGUUCGGAUCCCCAGCGCUUAUGUGAAAAGGGAAGGGCAACUGUGUGGCAACCCUGUCGCAAAGAAAAAAGUGGCAAGUGAUAGAGGACACAUGAUACUGACUUCUGGUUUUCACACACAUGAAUGAGCACAUGUACACACAUGAGAUGCAUACUUCCCUCAACACACACACACACACACACACACACACACACACACACACACACACAUACAGAGCGAGAGUGAGAGCGAGAGCGAGAGCAAGAGCAAAGCAGCAAAACCAUGAAGUCAUUGGGGUAGAAGCUGGAGCCACAGUAGUGUGGCUAGAAGAAAUUGACACUACAGAACACAGAUGAGCAACAUUAGCAACUACCAGAACCAGCAACUGGUUCCUCUCCUCCGCCAUCUCUGGCUUCCCACCAGUUCCUCUCACUCCUGAAAUCUGCCCGAAAGCAGCUGAUACCGGAACCUAGGCAGCCAUUCUGCUGGAGUCAGCCUCUCUAGAUAAGAAGUGGAGUUUCAUGGGGGCAGAUGGCCCAGCACUGGCACCUACCCAGUCCAAAGCCCUUUUCAAGAAUGGGUAUUUCUUUUAAUUCCUUGGACACUUUUGAACAGAUUGCCUAAUUUUAUUGAGGUGUUAAGUUACUGGCAUAAAAUUGUGUGCUACAUUUUACCAUCUUGAAUUUAAAUAUUCUUCUGCAUUUAUGACAAUUGCCUAAACACAGGUAAGGUCGUCGUCUUAAUUACUUUUCCUGUUACUGUGAUCAAAACUUUGACAAAAGUGACUUAAGAGAGAGGGGAUUCAGACAGUAGUACAUCAGGACAGGGAAGUCAAGGGAGACAAGAUCUUGAGGUGGCUGGUCACCCAGCAUCACAGCCAUGGAGCAGAGAGUGAGGGAUGCUGGUGUUCGGCAUUCUCCUCUUCAUGCCCUCCAGGACUGAAGUCUAGUGAGCAGGGUCACCCUUCCUUAGGGUGGGUCUUCCCACCCUAGUUAACCUAAUCAAAGUGAUCUAUCCCUUCCAGGCACACCCAGGGCUAACUUCAUCUAAACAACCCCUCAUAGGUGCGCCUGGAGGUGGCCUCCUGGGUGACUCUUGCCCUGUCGAGUUGACAGUGAACGGAAGUCAUCAGUUGUCUAACCUGUUCCCCUGACUCCUCUGUAGCCUUUAGUUGAUGGCGACGUCUAGAAGCUGGCCCAUUAGGAUCAGUUAUUUGACAUGAGUCCUUCACAGGCAGUUUUUUAUAUUUCCACUCGGAGUGUGUAAACGUAAAUAUCAUACUGAGUAUUAAAAGCUAUCAUUGAUAAUUUAUUUUCCUACAUCUAUCAAUGCAUACACUGACUCCAAUAUUAGCAGCUGAAAAUGCUGAAACCUGAUUUUAUUGUUCUUUGUUUUUCAGCUGGAAUACAUCUAUUCCAGAGAAGCUAGCUCCCAUCCCCUUUGGUCAUUGUCUUUUGACUUAAUUUUUCUCCUUUACCUCUUCCGUCUUCACUGGAAUGGUGAUCUUUUCUUUAAAGGUACAGACCACAGAAUUUUGUCACGGGUGUUCAUAUUUUUUUUUAAUUUUUUUGUUAAUGACACAAAAUUCAAAUGGUUUGAUAAAGUAUAGAAUUAAAAAGUCUUUCUCUCCUGCCUCCACUCAGUUUCCUCUCUAGAGGCAACCAUUGCUUCAGUAUUCCUUAGACAAGUAUCUCACUCUGUAGCUCAGGAUGGCCUCCAAUUUGAGAUCCUCCUGCUUCAGCCUCCUGAGUGCUGGGAUUACAGGCAUGGCCCACCAUGCCCAGGUCCUGCUGCAUGUUUCUUAUGAUGGCUUCCCCAGACAUAGAAAUUGUAUGUACUCAAAUGACAAGGCAAAGGGGAGCAAGUGUCCAUA